UACGUAGGGUGCAAGCGUUAAUCGGAAUUACUGGGCGUAAAGCGUGCGCAGGCGGUUUUGUAAGCCAGAUGUGAAAUCCCCGGGCUUAACCUGGGAAUGGCAAUUGGGACUGCAAGGCUGGAGUUUGGCAGAGGAGACUGGAAUUCCCGGUGUAGCAGUGAAAUGCGUAGAUAUCGGGAGGAAUACCGAUGGCGGAGGCAGGUCUCUGGGCUAUAACUGACGCUCAUGCACGAAAGCGUGGGGAGCAAACAGG
This 253-nucleotide ribosomal RNA is filed under the name uncultured bacterium. RNAcentral describes it as "partial 16S ribosomal RNA". It matches the Rfam family "Bacterial small subunit ribosomal RNA", at positions 524 to 776 of the family's 1533-position model. The record is from RNAcentral.